UACGGAGGGUGCAAGCGUUAUCCGGAUUUACUGGGUUUAAAGGGUGCGUAGGUGGGCUUUUAAGUCAGUGGUGAAAUCUCCGGGCUUAACUCGGAAACUGCCAUUGAUACUAUUAGUCUUGAAUAUCCUGGAGGUAAGCGGAAUAUGUCAUGUAGCGGUGAAAUGCUUAGAUAUGACAUAGAACACCCAUUGCGAAGGCAGCUUACUACGGGAUUAUUGACACUGAGGCACGAAAGCGUGGGGAUCAAACAGG
This 253-nucleotide ribosomal RNA is filed under the name uncultured bacterium. RNAcentral describes it as "partial 16S ribosomal RNA". It matches the Rfam family "Bacterial small subunit ribosomal RNA", at positions 524 to 776 of the family's 1533-position model. The record is from RNAcentral.